This 247-nucleotide long non-coding RNA is filed under the name Medicago truncatula (barrel medic). Its description in RNAcentral is "long non-coding RNA (MTRU_LNC006890)". Lineage: Eukaryota; Viridiplantae; Streptophyta; Magnoliopsida; Fabales; Fabaceae. The record is from RNAcentral.
CUCUCUAUCUAUCUCUCUCUCUCUCUCUCUCUCUCUCUCUCUCUCUCUCUAAUCGCCGGAAACUUGAGAUAACGGUGGCGAUAACAUAAUGAAGAGGAAGAGAAGUAGAUCGAGUGAUGAUUGACCGAAUUUCUUGAACCAUGAUUCAACGGGAGCAAAGAUGGUGGGGGUAGCGUGAGAGUUUUUGUUGGUGGUGAAUAUGUGGAACGGUGGAAAGGUUUAUUUCAAACUCACUCUCACUUCCGAU